GAUGAACGCUAGCGACAGGCUUAACACAUGCAAGUCGAGGGGCAGCAAUUUGUAGCAAUACAAAGUUGGCGACCGGCGCACGGGUGAGUAACGCGUAUGCAACCUACCUACAACAGAAGAAUAAUCCGGCGAAAGUCGGUCUAAUACUUCAUAAAACAGGGAUACCGCAUGGUGUUAUUUGUUAAAGAUUUAUCGGUUGUAGAUGGGCAUGCGUACCAUUAGGUAGUUGGUGAGGUAACGGCCUACCAAGCCUACGAUGGUUAGGGGUUCUGAGAGGAAAGUCCCCCACACUGGUACUGAGACACGGACCAGACUCCUACGGGAGGCAGCAGUGAGGAAUAUUGGUCAAUGGGCGAGAGCCUGAACCAGCCAAGUCGCGUGAAGGAUGACGGCCCUAUGGGUUGUAAACUUCUUUUGCAGGGGAAUAAAGAUAUCCACGUGUGGGUAGUGGGUAU
RNAcentral lists this ribosomal RNA (455 nucleotides) under Tannerella serpentiformis. Its description in RNAcentral is "bacterial SSU rRNA". It matches the Rfam family "Bacterial small subunit ribosomal RNA", at positions 28 to 476 of the family's 1533-position model. The record is from RNAcentral. Lineage: Bacteria; Pseudomonadati; Bacteroidota; Bacteroidia; Bacteroidales; Tannerellaceae.